AUGAUGGUUGAAUUCGAGGAUGGAGGUGGAAGGAUUCCAUACAGUCCGACAUGCCUAUUAAUUUGCAAGGAGACCAAGUGAAGCCAGUACUUGACCUGGUAAAUCCUCAACGUAAAUUAUUGAGGAGGGUCCAAUAACUGUAGCUCCACCAGAGACAAUUAGAAAGUUGGAGCAGGCAGCUUGAAGGCUGGCUAAAAGUGUUAACUAUGUUGGAGCAGCUACUGUUGAGUAUCUGUACAGUAUGGACACUGGCGAGUACUAUUUCUUAGAGUUGAACCCUCGAUUGUAGGUGGAGCACCCGGUCACUAAGUGGAUAGCAGAAAUAAAUCUGCUAGCAGACCAAGUUGCAGUUGGGAUGGGCAUUCCUCUUUGGCAAAUUCCUGGUA
Molecule: long non-coding RNA, 386 nt
Organism: Rosa chinensis
Lineage: Eukaryota; Viridiplantae; Streptophyta; Magnoliopsida; Rosales; Rosaceae
Exons: 4
Source: RefSeq, a predicted model, not a curated record